AUUGCUAGCCCAUUGUAGUAUUGAGCUCGUCCGAAAGCGAGUUAACGAACAUUCGUACGAGAAGCUGCUAACAGCCGAAGUACGCAAAUUGGGCACGUUCGUUGGCUCAUUGGCUCGAUCGGAGCGGAGUACUUAAAUAUAACGUUGUGUCCGGUUUUGAGCCAACAUCAUUCCAUAACUGAGCGUUCUCAGCCGCAGUCGAGUUGUAGCAGCAGCGGGCCACCUAAAACACCUAACUCAACCCAGAUAACUCAGCGCUACAACAAAUCUAAGAAGAAACACAAAAAUUAAUAACUAUAGCUAAAAUAUUGGCGU
This is a long non-coding RNA of Rhagoletis zephyria (snowberry fruit fly), 315 nucleotides long. RefSeq lists it as uncharacterized. The record is from RefSeq and is a predicted model, not a curated record. NCBI's taxonomy places the organism in Eukaryota, Metazoa, Arthropoda, Insecta, Diptera, Tephritidae.